UUGCAUAUCCAUAGCGGAGGAAAAGAAACUAACAAGGAUUCCCCUAGUAACGGCGAGUGAAGCGGGAAGAGCUCAAAUUUGAAAUCUGGUAGCCUUCGGUUGCCCGAGUUGUAAUCUAGAGAAGUGUUUUCCGUGCCGGCCCAUGUACAAGUCCCUUGGAACAGGGCGUCAUAGAGGGUGAGAAUCCCGUCCUUGACAUGGACCCCCGGUGCUUUGUGAUACACUUUCAACGAGUCGAGUUGUUUGGGAAUGCAGCUCAAAAUGGGUGGUGAAUUCCAUCUAAAGCUAAAUAUUGGCGAGAGACCGAUAGCGAACAAGUACCGUGAGGGAAAGAUGAAAAGCACUUUGGAAAGAGAGUUAAACAGUACGUGAAAUUGUUGAAAGGGAAACGAUUGAAGUCAGUCAUGCUCUUGGGACUUACCUCCCUUGAGUGGGGUCAACAUCAGUUUUGAUCGAUGGAUAAAGGCACGGGGAAGGUAGCACUCUCGGGUGAACUUAUAGCCUCGCGUCAUAUACAUUGAUUGGGACUGAGGAACGCAGCAUGCCUUAUGGCCGGGAUUCGUCCACGUACAUGCUUAGGAUGUUGACAUAAUGGCUUUAAACGACCCGUCUUGACACCCGGACACAC
This 628-nucleotide ribosomal RNA is filed under the name Naganishia albida. RNAcentral's name for it is "eukaryotic LSU rRNA". It matches the Rfam family "Eukaryotic large subunit ribosomal RNA", at positions 36 to 664 of the family's 3401-position model. Lineage: Eukaryota; Fungi; Basidiomycota; Tremellomycetes; Filobasidiales; Filobasidiaceae. The record is from RNAcentral.